AUGUGUGUAUUUGCAGACUCUCUUUGUACAUGGCUAAAGAUAACCCAGACAAGGAGCCCCAAAAGAGGGUCUGUAACACCAGGAGGAAUCCCUUGUGCUGCAUCAUGGAAGUUGUACACCAACACCUGGCGCUCCUUGUAUGAAAUGCAAAGAGAUAUAAUGAAUACUGUUUAUAAGAGCGGAAUUACAAGAUUAUUGGAAUGGAUAUUGUUUGAACUCUACAGCUUGAAGGCUAGUAAAUAAAAUUUUCCAUCAACAAUAUUUAUAAUUAUUACAGCUUUGUUACUUUAGGAAAGAGUGAACUGCUGAAAUACAUCUUAUUUUUGACUCAGCAUUUUUGUCAAAUAUAUUGACUUCAGUAAGUAAGGGCAUAACAUUUAUUUAUCCUCAACUGAAUACACUGAGCACAGCUGAUAGAUGCAGUUGUCAAAAUCUGUUAUGGCCCUGUCACCCUCUUCUGUGGGCAGCCCAGGGACAGAAACUUUUUACAAAGGGCAUGUGUUCCUCCAGAGACUGGGUGGCCAGUUCUAGUUCCAGUCCCUUCCGCUACCUCUCUACCAAGUCACUACCAAGUCACAGGAAGAGAGAAACAGUAAAUAUUCUGUUGCAGUUGUGAUCAAAGAUCCUUCAAGAUGGUUUAUGUUAGUGGGAAAGUUCUAGAAUAUCAUAUAGAAAAAUAUUCCUAGCUCCCCAUACCAAUUGACUUGAUCAAUUGAUCAAGUUCUCAUCAAGAAAUAUUAACAAAAUCCUCCCACUUUCCGCAUAAUGGUUCCCCUUGCAACAUGAACAAAGAAAAAGAAUAUGCUACAUCUGAAGUAUAAGUUAGUCAGUAAUUUUCCAUGCAACUAUGAAUAUGACUUCUCCAGAUUAAAUAUACUACAUUUCUGUUUUUUACAAACAGUAUUUUUUUUUUCAAAAAGACAACGCACUUGUCCAUCAUUACCCACUGUUGAUAAACACAUUGAAUUUUAUUUCAAAUUCCAUUAGUUUAAAUAUCUUUAACUUAUUAUCAUGUUUAUCAGUUCUAUCAGAAUUUUAAGGUGGACUUUUAUUUUUGCCCUUUCACAUUCAGCAUGGAGUGCACUAAAUUUUGGCAUUUCCUUCCAACUGACUAUAAGUGAUUCAUUUACCUUUAGCCAUCAGAAUUUCUCUGUCCUUUCUAACAGCAUAGACUUUAUCAAAAGCUGAGAUAAAAUAUUUAUUUAGCUUUUGAGCAAAAAUCAGUUUGCCUUUAAACUUUAACCUUUCUAACUUCAUAGUGAACACAUUUCUUCUUUUCCUAUUCUCUUUUUGUUUAAAAAGUUGAUUUAUUUUAUUUUUUUCAUUUUUAUUAUGGUGUUGUUAUUAUAACACAGUUCCUUCUUAAGCUCUGAAUUUGCUUUCUUUGACAAUCCACCUUUUUGACUUUGGAGCUUUUCUGCUAUCCCUAGUGCACUUUUCAAUAAACCAGGCCUGGAGGCUUUUUUUAUAUCUAUU
This 1476-nucleotide long non-coding RNA is filed under the name Anser cygnoides (Swan goose). RNAcentral describes it as "lncRNA (ENSACDG00005008187.1)". Lineage: Eukaryota; Metazoa; Chordata; Aves; Anseriformes; Anatidae. The record is from RNAcentral.